Bombus impatiens (common eastern bumble bee) is the source of this 445-nucleotide long non-coding RNA. RefSeq lists it as uncharacterized. Lineage: Eukaryota; Metazoa; Arthropoda; Insecta; Hymenoptera; Apidae. The record is from RefSeq and is a predicted model, not a curated record. The transcript has 2 exons.
CAAUCAUAAUCAAAUCAUAGAUUUUCUAGGUAAGCUAGAAUUGAUUUUAGUUUGGGUUAGUAUUUACUUCUCAGCCGCCAUGAAUUGGCUGGUUAUGUUAGUACAAACAAAUUUUUGGUCAAUUCGACUAUAGUUCUUGAUGAUAUGAUUAUGUAUACAAAAAAAAAAAAAAAUAGAAUCCAAUUGGUGGCCAGCUAAGGAUUGGAUGAGAUGAAGAGGUCGCUUACAUGAAUUUGUCGAUUGCUUAUGCCAAUUUUUGUAGCGCCGAUUUUGUGGUCAUAACAACAUCGAUUUGAUGGCAUCAUUGAUAGAAACGAUCCGAAGACAAUAACAAGAGUGCGCUGCAUGAGUUUCAUAAUGCUCAACUCACGAAAUGCUAUAUAGCAUUCUGCAUCUAUGUAUUUCCGUGGUGGUGUCACGUAAACUUGUGACUUAGAUUAUAAAA